This 31-nucleotide non-coding RNA is filed under the name Mus musculus (house mouse). The record is from RNAcentral. Lineage: Eukaryota; Metazoa; Chordata; Mammalia; Rodentia; Muridae.
UCCUAAACCUGUAUUCAAGUUCAAAGUGUCU